GGCAGCGUGAGCCAGGAAUCCCACUCAUUCAUUGAGUGGGAGAUUCACGAUGCUGAGUCGCGGGUUCAAGACGCCACUCCCGCCGCUGCCGCCA
Molecule: transfer RNA, 94 nt
Filed under: Actinomycetes bacterium
Lineage: Bacteria; Bacillati; Actinomycetota; Actinomycetes
Description: tRNA-OTHER
Source: RNAcentral